ACUAUUUUGGCAGAUAAGUGUAUUAGAUUUAGAAUCUAUAAAUGUAAUUUUAUAAUUACAGGUAGUA
Molecule: transfer RNA, 67 nt
Filed under: Opisthoplatia orientalis
Lineage: Eukaryota; Metazoa; Arthropoda; Insecta; Blattodea; Blaberidae
Description: tRNA-Leu
Rfam family: tRNA
About the family: Transfer RNA (tRNA) molecules are approximately 80 nucleotides in length. Their secondary structure includes four short double-helical elements and three loops (D, anti-codon, and T loops).
Source: RNAcentral